RNAcentral lists this ribosomal RNA (433 nucleotides) under uncultured bacterium. RNAcentral describes it as "partial 16S ribosomal RNA". It matches the Rfam family "Bacterial small subunit ribosomal RNA", at positions 29 to 507 of the family's 1533-position model. The record is from RNAcentral.
AACGAACGCUGGCGGCAUGCCUAACACAUGCAAGUCGAACGAGACCUUCGGGUCUAGUGGCGCACGGGUGUGUGACGCGUGGGAACCUGCACUUAGGUUCGGAAUAACUCCCCGAAAGGGGUGCUAAUACCGGAUAAUGUCUUCGGACCAAAGCUUUAUCGCCUUUGGAUGGGCCCGCGUUGGAUUCGCUAGUUGGUAGGGUAAAAGCCUACCAAGGCGACGAUCCAUAGCUGGUCUGAGAGGAUGAUCAGCAACACUGGGGCUGGGACACGGCCCAGACUCCUACGGGAGGCAGCAGUGGGUAAUAUUGGACAAUGGGCGAAAGCCUGAUCCAGCAAUGCCGCGUGAGUGAUGAAGGCCUUAGGGUUGUAAAGCUCUUUUACCCGGGAUGAUAAUGACAGUACCGGGAGAAUAAGCUCCGGCUAACUCCGUG